GACGAACGCUGGCGGCGUGCUUAACACAUGCAAGUCGAACGAUGAACCCGGAGCUUGCUCCGGUGGAUUAGUGGCAAACGGGUGAGUAACACGUGAGUAACCUGCCCUUGACUCUGGGAUAACUGCGGGAAACUGUAGCUAAUACCGGAUACGACCCUCGGCGGCAUCGCCAGGGGGUGGAAAGAAUUUCGGUCAAGGAUGGACUCGCGGCCUAUCAGCUAGUUGGUGAGGUAACGGCUCACCAAGGCGACGACGGGUAGCCGGCCGGCGAGGGGGACCGGCCACACUGGGACUGAGACACGGCCCAGACUCCGACGGGGGGCAGCAGUGGGGAAUAUUGCACAAUGGGCGCAAGCCUGAUGCGGCAACGCCGCGUGAGGGAUGACGGCCUUCGGGUUGUAAACCUCUUUUAGUAGGGAAGAAGCGAAAGUGACGGUACCUGCAGAAAAAGCACCGGCUAACUACGUGCCAGCCGCCGCGGUAA
This 484-nucleotide ribosomal RNA is filed under the name uncultured bacterium. Its description in RNAcentral is "partial 16S ribosomal RNA". It matches the Rfam family "Bacterial small subunit ribosomal RNA", at positions 28 to 523 of the family's 1533-position model. The record is from RNAcentral.